Cygnus olor (mute swan) is the source of this 1008-nucleotide long non-coding RNA. RefSeq lists it as uncharacterized. The transcript is spliced from 3 exons. The record is from RefSeq and is a predicted model, not a curated record. Lineage: Eukaryota; Metazoa; Chordata; Aves; Anseriformes; Anatidae.
AAGCACAGCCCGUGCCCUGCCCUCCCUUCAGUCCCACGGGCUCUGGGGGGCCCCACUGGUCCCCACACCGGGCGUUUGCUGGGAGAAAUGACCAAAGCUCUGCACCCCAUGCACGCCCCAGGCUGGAGGCCUGCUGGGAUGUCCUAGGGGUGUCCGUGGGAUGCAAAUGUCUUUGCUGGUCUCUGUCUUUCCUGGGUGAUACCAAAUUUUUAUAUAAAUGUGUACCUGUGAGAGCUGACGCUCACCAGUGUGGCAGCUGAAAUGUCUGUUGGCUGCCCGUGCUGUGGCAUCCUCUGUAGCACAUCCCGUCCUUGCCCAGUGUUGGGUGCAGCUGGUUGUGCCCACUUGGCUUUUGUGGAGCUCAGCCUAAGUCCCUGUAUGUUUCUCCUGGGCCUGAGAGAAGGAGAAAGAGGGUUUUUGGUUUUUUGUUUGUUUGUUUGUAUGUUUUCUUGCACAUUACAUCCAUCUGCUGAAAGGGACAGCAUAAGAAAACAAGUCCAGAAGGGCUGCCCGCCACCCUCAGGGUCAGAAACCCUCGCAGAGAGCCCAGCAGCAGGUAGUGUGGAUCCCCCCUACCUCCUCAGUGGUCCAGGAGCUGUUUGUGGUGCCGGCAUACUGCUUGUCCCCGCAGAAGCGAAGGCGUCCUUCCUCACCUUAGUUACCUUACAGACGAGCACAUCAGGCUGGCUGCUCAGUCACAGCCUACAAGGUCUUUUUGGCAUGAUGAGAGAAAAUUGGAUAAAGACUAUUCAAGUCAGGAUUGUUUGCAAGCAGGUCACUGGUGGCCCUUUGCAGUCCAUGGACCACAAUGUGUCCCAGUCACCUUUGCCAUCUCUAGUUGGACAACAGAAGACUUCCAAGUAAGAGAACAGAACGUAAUGAGGUGUUGGUGAUGAUCUAACUGGCACCUGACUCGCCAGCCAGCUGUCCUUGGAGGGCUGGGUAGGGAUGAGUGCAGCUGUGCUCCGCGAUGGGGAGUGGCCGUUACACUGGCGGAUCCCAGUGGAG